Molecule: long non-coding RNA, 523 nt
Filed under: Numida meleagris (helmeted guineafowl)
Lineage: Eukaryota; Metazoa; Chordata; Aves; Galliformes; Numididae
Description: lncRNA (ENSNMEG00000000522.1)
Source: RNAcentral
CAGGCAAACAAAUACCUGUUUAGCAAACAAGCACUGUCCAAGCUAGAGAGUAAAGCUGGUCGUGAUUGCAUUUGAGGUUCGGGUUAGGCCAGCACAUCUGUAGGCCCCAUGCACAGCACAGCACGUGAAUUAUUUCUGUUUUACAGGAAUACCAUCUGCAAAGAGGCUGUGACUUGGGUAAGAGGAGGACCCUUACCCUUCUCCAGUCUGAUGCUGCGUAGAUUUCCUGACUGUUAUGAGCACUGCUGGGAAGCAAUACUGCGUAACACCUGUUUAAAGCACGGUGAAUGGAAAAAGCCCUCCGUUUCCCACAGCCCAAGCUCACCUUGUUGCCACCUACACCAGGCUGCUCCUGCAUUGCUUUCCUUUGUUCUGUUUUCCUCAGUGCAAUGAACCCUUACGUUAUGAGUUUCUGCUGUAGUUUUAACCUCUAAUAUGCAACCAUUACAGCUUAUCUUGUCUCCUAAAUUACUCUAAAAUCCAAUUAUAAAAUCCUCUUUCCCUCAAUAGCACACAACUUGCC